RNAcentral lists this ribosomal RNA (126 nucleotides) under Cyphellophora gamsii. RNAcentral's name for it is "partial large subunit ribosomal RNA". It matches the Rfam family "Eukaryotic large subunit ribosomal RNA", at positions 99 to 224 of the family's 3401-position model. Lineage: Eukaryota; Fungi; Ascomycota; Eurotiomycetes; Chaetothyriales; Cyphellophoraceae. The record is from RNAcentral.
CGGCAACAGCUCAAAUUUGAAAUCUGGCCUCUUUGGGGUCCGAGUUGUAAUUUGGAGAGGAUGUUUCGGGUACGGUCCGGGCUUAAAUUUCUUGGAACAGAAUGUCAUAGAGGGUGAGAAUCCCGU